This 497-nucleotide ribosomal RNA is filed under the name uncultured bacterium. RNAcentral describes it as "partial 16S ribosomal RNA". It matches the Rfam family "Bacterial small subunit ribosomal RNA", at positions 28 to 507 of the family's 1533-position model. The record is from RNAcentral.
GAUGAACGCUGGCGGCGUGCCUAAUACAUGCAAGUCGAGCGAACAGACGAGGAGCUUGCUCCUCUGACGUUAGCGGCGGACGGGUGAGUAACACGUGGAUAACCUACCUAUAAGACUGGGAUAACUUCGGGAAACCGGAGCUAAUACCGGAUAAUAUAUUGAACCGCAUGGUUCAAUAGUGAAAGACGGUUUUGCUGUCACUUAUAGAUGGAUCCGCGCCGCAUUAGCUAGUUGGUAAGGUAACGGCUUACCAAGGCAACGAUGCGUAGCCGACCUGAGAGGGUGAUCUGCCACACUGGAACUGAGACACGGUCCAGACUCCUACGGGAGGCAGCAGUAGGGAAUCUUCCGCAAUGGGCGAAAGCUUGACGGAGCAACGCCGCGUGAGUGAUGAAGGUCUUCGGAUCGUAAAACUCUGUUAUUAGGGAAGAACAAAUGUGUAAGUAACUAUGCACGUCUUGACGGUACCUAAUCAGAAAGCCACGGCUAACUACGUG